RNAcentral lists this ribosomal RNA (301 nucleotides) under uncultured bacterium. RNAcentral's name for it is "partial 16S ribosomal RNA". It matches the Rfam family "Bacterial small subunit ribosomal RNA", at positions 509 to 807 of the family's 1533-position model. The record is from RNAcentral.
CAGUCGCCGCGGGAAUACGAAGGGUGCAAGCGUUAAUCGGAAUUACUGGGCGUAAAGCGUGCGUAGGCGGUUUGUUAAGUCUGUUGUGAAAUCCCCGGGCUCAACCUGGGAAUGGCAAUGGAUACUGGCUCGCUAGAGUGUGUCAGAGGAUGGUGGAAUUCCCGGUGUAGCGGUAAAAUGCGUAGAGAUCGGGAGGAACAUCAGUGGCGAAGGUGGCCAUCUGGGACAACACUGACGCUGAGGCACGAAAGCGUGGGGAGCAAACAGGAUUAGAUACCCCUGUAGUCCCUGUCUCUUAUAC